RNAcentral lists this ribosomal RNA (253 nucleotides) under uncultured bacterium. RNAcentral's name for it is "partial 16S ribosomal RNA". It matches the Rfam family "Bacterial small subunit ribosomal RNA", at positions 524 to 776 of the family's 1533-position model. The record is from RNAcentral.
UACGUAGGGUGCGAGCGUUGUCCGGAAUUAUUGGGCGUAAAGAGCUCGUAGGCGGUUUGUUGCGUCUAUCGUGAAAGCCUGCGGCUUAACUGUGGGCUUGCGGUGGAUACGGGCAGACUUGAGUUCGGUAGGGGAGACUGGAAUUCCUGGUGUAGCGGUGAAAUGCGCAGAUAUCAGGAGGAACACCGGUGGCGAAGGCGGUUCUCUGGGCAUGUCCUGACGCUGAGGAGCGAAAGUGUGGGGAGCGAACAGG